CACGUUCACCGCCCGCAUCGUACGCGGUCCCGCGGCCAUCUGCGAAAACCUCUUCACGCCUCUCGGGUCCUUCCCGACGAACCCGGUGAAUCUCAGCACGAGCGUCGCGGACGUGCCGUCCGCGCUCUUCUCCGCGGAGACGCGCGACGGCGCGAGCGAAUGGAAUUUGAUCCCGCGGCUCAGGCGCGACUUCACGACGUUUUCGACGAAAUUCAGUUGCGCCUCCGCCUUCGCCGCGGACAUGCCCGUGAUCGCGUACGUCGCCGUGACGGUCGUCGACGUCACCGCGUCCGCCGGAGUCGAAGGCACGGGAAGAGGAGAAACCGGACCCGGUGACACAGGAUGCUCCGAUGACACCGCAGUAGAAGCCGAUGAGACCGGUGAUGAAGGCGCCUCGGGCGCCGCGGGCGCGGGCGUCGACCCUCGCACGUUUUCACCCUCGCUCUUCGCCGUCGUCGCCGUCGUCGUCGUCGUCUCCUUCGUCGUCUCUUUCGUCGUUUCCCCCCACUCCUCCGCGUUCCACGGCCCCGCGACCGCGAGCGUCACCGCGCCGAGCUUCGAGCAUUCGCACGCGUACGCGUCGCCGCCGAGAGACGUGAUCUCGCAGCCGGCGUCGUCGCGUGUCCUCCACGCGACGUCCUUCUCCGCGAGCGACCCGGCGCCAUCCGCGGAGACGGUAUUGAGCGUCGCGCAGUAGAGACGCUUCGCGUGCGUCGCCGGGACUUUACUCGCGUGCGUCGCGCCGUCGCGCGUCACCGCGCCGAGACGCGACGUGAGCGUCACGCGGACGCGGAGGCUGUCGAGCGCGUCGAUUUGCCCGUAGAACUCGUCCACGACGGCGAACGACGCGACGACGUCGCUCGCGAUGAUCGGCAGCCCGCACGAGUCCGAGUCGCGGUCCGAGUCGU
This 908-nucleotide long non-coding RNA is filed under the name Micromonas pusilla. RNAcentral's name for it is "long non-coding RNA (MPUS_LNC000024)". Lineage: Eukaryota; Viridiplantae; Chlorophyta; Mamiellophyceae; Mamiellales; Mamiellaceae. The record is from RNAcentral.